Molecule: long non-coding RNA, 536 nt
Organism: Sphaeramia orbicularis (orbiculate cardinalfish)
Lineage: Eukaryota; Metazoa; Chordata; Actinopteri; Kurtiformes; Apogonidae
Exons: 2
Source: RefSeq, a predicted model, not a curated record
GUGUGCGGAGUUAUGGCCUGUUGUAGCAGCGGCUUUUCAUACCGUUUGAGGAGUGAUUUGGGUUUUGAUCAGAAGAGUUGAGAUGGAGACUGAGAUGGAGAUACAUUUAUACUGGUUUUCAGGGAGCCUCCACAUUUGUAUAACCAAAAUAAAUACAAGGGUUUUCAUUUUAAGCAUCUAGAUGGAUGUGUGGACUUCUCUGGGACCUUAAUGUGAAUUUUUAGACCUUACAAUGUCUUAUCCAGGUCUAAAAAAUGGACUGUAUUUAGUCCUCUGUUGAAGCCCGCCUGGUGAGAAUAAGAUAUUGAAGCUUCUUGCACCAUGUGACUAAGUAUGUGCUGAAGAAGCCAAAGGAAAAUGCUUGCCAUCACCUAAUAUUGUUCAGUAUUCACAUCAGGAACAUCACCAAAACCCAGGCGUAAUGAGACGUGAAAUUGAGUUUAGAUUACAUUCAUAAUGGCCUUAAAUGUGCCGUAUUUUUAUGUUUUGUUUUCCGAUAUAAUACAGCUGCUUCUGUCAUAGUAGAACAAUGUUUU